Long non-coding RNA from Tachysurus vachellii, 1554 nucleotides. RefSeq lists it as uncharacterized. The transcript is spliced from 4 exons. The record is from RefSeq and is a predicted model, not a curated record. NCBI's taxonomy places the organism in Eukaryota, Metazoa, Chordata, Actinopteri, Siluriformes, Bagridae.
CUCACGCUCAUCUCUCCCUCGUCACUUUCGCUUGAUUUUAUACAAUUAAAGACAAAAGAAAGCGCAUUAAUUAACCGGAAGGAAACAGGUGUUUAGAGUAAAAAGAAAAAGGCUAAAUAAUUUAAACCGUCGUGGUCACUCGGAUUGCCCUGGAUACGGAUAAACUAUACCUGGGGUAUAAAUGGAACAAGUCACAUAAGGCUUGUGACAUUAUGCUAAAAGUACUAUUUAGUGUGGGAGUGUAUGGGGUUUUGAUGUAGCAUCUCUGAACAUAGUGGGUGGACUCACCCUAGCUAACUUCUUUCCUCUCGACUCGAGGUCAAGUUUUGUUGCCAUGUCAAGAAGAUAAUUUCUCUCCUGCUUGAAUGGGCUCAACACUACAUGAAAGAUAAGAUAAGAAGAAAAAAAGAGAGAGUGGGAGGCAGAGAUGAAGUCCAACAUUGCCACCGGCUCUCUUCCCCCUCUGCAAGUCUGUCUCUGCGUUUCUGGGAAGGGUGGAAGUGCACCAAGGCCAGCCAGGGUGAGGCGUCAUGGGCUUGAGAAGCAUCCUGAACCCCGCUCGGUCAACAGCACCUCUGGAGCUCAGAGCUCAGAGAGAAAUCAAUACAGGGAAAGAGAGGCUGAUGCUGGAUCACCCAACCUAGCCCUGAGCCUUCAGGCCAGAUGACCUCCCACACACACAUGGUCAUACACACUGACACACAUACAAAUACAUACUGACAUACAGCUAUGCUAUCUUUCGCAAAAUCACACACACUCAUGACUACCACACACCUACACAUGCAUGUGUUUAUGUGUCUGGUUUUCCUCGAGGCCAUGUUAUUUUGGAGCAGUCUCUACAAUCCAAACAAGACUCAAUUAUUUUUUUCUGAAGAUGGCAAAGGUCCUCGCUUUGUGUUUCCCUCACUUUUUGCACCAUUUCUCUAUUUGUGUCCGUACGUGUCACCUUCCACCUCUGUGUGGCAAGAAAAAUCAUUCAAAUGUAUCAAAUAUCUACAAGGAUGGACUUCCUCCCCCCGAGCAACUCAUUGCCUAUUCAGUGGCAAGACUUGAAAGACGCAAGCAGCUGUAUCACGUUGCUGUGCUGUUGCUGUGCUCCAGAAACUCUGCACCAGAAACUCACUUUGUAAUUACCAAUUCUUUCACAAUCAACCAGCUCACAACAUAGUCAGCAAAAGGGAGACCUUCUGGUUCCUGAACAUGAUGUGGACUUAACAUGAAACAUAGUGUAAGAGACUGAAGAACACCCAGAGGAACAGUGAUGGCUGCUCAAACAGUGACUUCAAACUUCAGCUAAGACAGAUCGUUUUCCCAGCGAUAUGGACGAGGACAAGAGACGUGAGUCCCAACAAGUGUGUGUGAAGAGACAGACAGCACUGGAGUGAAGACAGUGAUGUUCAGUUGCUCUCAUUCUGCUUGAAAUCAGAAUUUCACUGUGUGAUUUUUGUGAAGUACAGAAUGAGUUUCUGAUGAACUUACUUUGUUCUCAGGUUGCUUUUGAUUAACAACAUGGACAUUUCAUUUUUCUCUAACUACAAGAGGUAAGUAGAUAAA